GUGGGGAAUAUUGGACAAUGGGCGCAAGCCUGAUCCAGCCAUGCCGCGUGAGUGAUGAAGGCCCUAGGGUUGUAAAGCUCUUUCAACGGUGAAGAUAAUGACGGUAACCGUAGAAGAAGCCCCGGCUAACUUCGUGCCAGCAGCCGCGGUAAUACGAAGGGGGCUAGCGUUGUUCGGAAUUACUAGGCGUAAAGCGCACGUAGGCGGAUCGUUAAGUCGGGGGUGAAAUCCCGGGGCUCAACCCCGGAACUGCCUUCGAUACUGGCGAUCUAGAGUUCGAGAGAGGUGAGUGGAAUUCCGAGUGUAGAGGUGAAAUUCGUAGAUAUUCGGAGGAACACCAGUGGCGAAGGCGGCUCACUGGCUCGAUACUGACGCUGAGGUGCGAAAGCGUGGGGAGCAAACAGGAUUAGAAACCCUUGUAGUCC
RNAcentral lists this ribosomal RNA (425 nucleotides) under uncultured bacterium. RNAcentral's name for it is "partial 16S ribosomal RNA". It matches the Rfam family "Bacterial small subunit ribosomal RNA", at positions 354 to 796 of the family's 1533-position model. The record is from RNAcentral.